Microtus oregoni (creeping vole) is the source of this 2930-nucleotide long non-coding RNA. RefSeq lists it as uncharacterized. NCBI's taxonomy places the organism in Eukaryota, Metazoa, Chordata, Mammalia, Rodentia, Cricetidae. The record is from RefSeq and is a predicted model, not a curated record. The transcript has 3 exons.
UAGGUAACAGGGCUGGCUCCGCAGACCCGGGCCAGGGAAGCCCGCGCGCGUCGUCAGCAUCAGCGGGGUGGGGGACUCACUGAACCUCCCCUGUCGGGGUCUGCAGACCCCCCCCGGGCUGGCUAGCGGUCCCCUCCCUGGAUGCCUUAAGGGUGCUGAUCACUGUUGUUGAGCUACCCCUCUCCUGCGGGGACCCCGACGUCGCCGCCCCCUCCGACUUCCUAGCUGGUGUGCACCACUCUCAGUGCGGCCAGAGAUCUUCCUCCGAGCCCAGGCGCGGGGCAUGAGGAGCCCCCAAGUAUCGCCUGCAGACAACCCAGCCACGCGCACACCUCGCCAGCCGCUGACGGGGACAUGAGCAGUUCGAUCCAGCUCUGGUGCCUGGUGGCCAGCCUCAGCCGGCAGCGGCCAAUGGGUCCUUGCUGCCUGGGAGAAUGAGGAAGGAACCCGCGGCCACCUCUCUCUCCUCCUUCUCGCCUUCCUCUGGCUCCCGCGCCCCGGGCCCGGGCCAGGCUGUGGCUCUGCUGCGUGCCCUGCGCGCCCCCCACCUGCCUCCGGAUGCUCUUCUCGGUUAGUCUGGCGAGGAAGAUAAAGACAUUUGCAACCAAGAUGGUAAUCACGGGUGGAAAUGAUGAGGACCGGGGAGGCCAAGAGAAAGAGAGCAAAGAAGAGAGUGUUCUGGCCAUGCUGGGCAUCAUUGGGACCAUCCUGAACCUGAUCGUCAUCAUCUUUGUCUACAUAUAUACCACACUGUGAAUGGCCCCAGGCAGCCUCGGCUGCCUCAGGAUGGCCAUGAGACAAGGGUCCUGUGUGUCCACCUCUCGGUGACCAGACACUGCAGGGGGCCACACCUGCUCCAUCAAUGCACCUUCGAACUUUUUAACAGGUCACCAAAAGAACCCAUCCUGCUGUGAGGAGCAGACAACUCUGAAGCACAAUGAAUCCAACGGAACUCAUUCAGGCCACAAGGAACUCAGCGUCCCUGGCAGGGGACCUGGCAGGAUGCUGGAAAGACCAGCCUUCGGCAUGAGUGGUGAGCGAAGGGGUGAAGAAAUGCCUCACCCUGGAGCGCUGACCACCUCCCAGGACCCGCUCUCGGGGUGGUCCGUUCACAGGCAUCCCAUUCAUCAAAUGUUUCCAGCUGUUUGAUACGGAAGAUAACUUAUUUUUCAUUUUUCAUUGGCUUGAUGUGUGUAUCUGUUCAUACAUACAAGGUUUAUAAAUAUAUAUUUUUAAUAAAUGUGCUCUAUUUUUUAGCAUGAACCAAAUAUUUGGAGAAGCACUUCUGGAUCCACAGCUUUUCAUGGUUUUAAUCGCUUUGCUCCAUCAAGCGCAGGAUGUCUUUUCUGUAGCCAUCCAGGUGUCUCAUCCAGUCCGUCUCUUUUGCUCUCAUGCUCUCCUCCUCCCCAUCUCUGCCUCUCCAUUCUGUCUUCUCUCGUUCCUGACUCCUGCCCACUCCCUCCUCUCCCUUCUCUCUCUCCUCUUCUCCCUUCCCCUGCCUUCGUCUCUUCUCUCCUCCCCUCUUCUCUUCUAUUCUCCUCUCCUCCUCUUUCAUCCAGAGGACAUUUUUUUCCUGUAAUACCAGCCAUGGUCCUGGCUGGUGCAUGUUUCGAGAUUGUCAAGUGGUUUUAUGUUGUUCUGUCAGAGAUCUAAACCGAUUGUGGGCAUGCAGACCUUAAGCGCACCCUGUCUUCAAUGAGAAUUAUGCAUGCACAAGGGCUGAGUGACAGAUCAGCUUUCAACCUGUUUUCAAAGGACUGCCACUGAGGAAGAGGAGUGUGGCCCUGCCUGCAGGUCACCCGUGGGAUGGAGCAGUCAGCUGCUCACUGGCAGUGUCGCUCAUUCACCCCUGCAAACCAUUUGUUUCUCAGAUUUUGAUUUUCUUUGUGACCGUGAGAGAUGAAAACGGGGUAAGCUCAAAGUUCAGUGUGCCGCCCCUUCUUUGAUGAGAUGCCUGGGCGGGGCCAGGUCUCUUCAGAAGUUGGAGGGAUUUGAAUGAUGUGAGGCCUUCCCACAGGGGUAGCCCAUGCGCAGUCAGCUCCUGCUGUAAAGAUGCCACUGUGACUAGUGGCCCGUCAAGGGUGUUGGAAGGGGCUCAAUGAUCUCUGUAAAGGACCCCUUGCACAUUUUAAAGCCGGUUCCCACCCACAUGAAGCUAUUUCCUCUCUAAGGGGUGGGUUGAAUAAAUACAGACUUGCCCUGCUCCCUGGCUUCCUAACAUAGCCCCAGCCUGGCUGCUGUGGACGCCUUAAGGACAGGGUCAGUGUUCAUUCGCCACUGGCAGAAAUGGCAGCAGCCUGCCGGGUUGGAUUCAAAUGACACUGAUGGGGUCUCUGCCUGCCCCCUUCCGUAAACGGCACCACGGCGGAGUCACUUCUCAGGCUCCACUAAGGGACCAGUCUCUUUUAUAAAUCAAAUUCCCGUGAGCACCUGGCUCUGGCCAGAGAUGUCUCCUUCCCCACCCGAAGGAAAGACACAUUGUACACAAAUCACCGGGCCCUCUUAGUAGCCCAGGAAAAGGAGAGUCUCACCUGUGUUGUAGAAGAAGGAGGAGAGCUCAGACCAGGAAUCUUCCCCAAGAUUACCUGGCAUACAGUGGAGUCAGAUCCUAGCCCAGCCUGUCCAGUUCCUUAUCCCAGCCAGGGUGAGCAUGGAAAGCCUAUUGAUUUGCAGAGAGCCAGCUUUGCACACCUCCCUUCCCCACCCCCAUAACAGGAAACAACCUGAGAAUCCCCUGGACUCUGGCAGAUUAUGACACAAAUACAGAAAGGGGCGAGAGGCUGGGUAGAGAUGUGAGAGGCGCCCAGGAAAGAGCGCCACCUACAGGCCGUGUGAUUCUGGGAAAUCUGUAAUUCUGAUCAGUGAACUGAGCAGACAAUAAAGGUGCAAUGGGGAAAAACCCACUGGUGUUGCCGACUUCCUUGUGAGCG